GACAGAUACACGCAUCCUGUGCCUCCCAUCAUAACAUCGUACACACUGACGCCAUUUUGCCUGCUAGAGAACGGGCCGCGUGAAGUUGUGUUAUAUCUGUAUGCAUUGAUUGUGUUUGUGAAAUCUCGUGAGACUCGGGCUUCCAUCAGUCCCCACAUAUUCUCCCCUCUAUCGAGAGCACAGUCAGGCUGCCUUCUGACGUCUCCCACAGAUUGCAUGGGACAGGGCCCAGAUGUAAACAGGACUCAGAGGCCAAACCCGUUCGGCCUUGACCCAAGCUAUGAAUAAACCAAAUUAAACAGAAAUCACACCUCCAUCACGUCCCCAAGGACUGAUGCUGAAGGAGGGGAUGAGUGGAAAGAGAAGCCCAAGGAGGUCAAUGACUCCCCCCUCCACCCAAGGAGAAAACAUAUCACAAUGAAAAUGGCAUUUUUUUUCUUAAAUCCUAUCACAGUGUGAGUGUGUGUGUGUGUGUGUGUGUGUGUUUAUCGUGUCUCUCCUGCAUGAGGUGAAGUACAUCCCCCACAGUUCCUUACACCACUGCAAUGUAAUCACCACGGUUACCCUGCCGGCAUCAGCGCCCGCCUGUCCCGCCUGUCCCGCCUGCGGGCGCUUCGAAGACACGGAGGGGCUUAAGAGACGACGACAGGGAGCGAACGGAAGAAAGGAUUUAUCCCUCUAUUUUAAACCAUCUGGUUUUUGUGCCAUAAAAAAUGACUCCACAGCCUGCAUGGGAUAUAAAGCCUUUCAACUGCUUAGUUAACUUCCCAAAAUAGCAAUCGCUUACAUCAUUAGAAUCUGAAUGAGAUGUCUGCACAAUUUGUUUUAUCCCCCAACCCCCCCCCACCCGCAUCCCUCAACAACCCCUCUUCGCCCCACUUCCAACACCAGACAUGUGAAGCUGGGUGCUUAAGAGGGAACACAGACAUGAGAGUAGGCCUACCAGUGGAAGGAUAAAGGGAAUGAGACUGACAGGAUGAAAGCAGGUUUUCAUCUCUUGUCUUUUUCUUUCCCUCUCCGUCUCUUUCUCAUAUCCCGCCUCCACCCGUUUUGCUCGUUCAGCAGAGCUGUGACAGCUUCCACUUCAGUCCAGUUUUCUAGACGAGGUAGAGGACAUGUCCGGUGCACGCCAAUGAUACACGCGCACGGGAGGUUAUGGAUUUGGAUGACAACAUUUUUG
This is a long non-coding RNA of Clupea harengus (Atlantic herring), 1180 nucleotides long. Lineage: Eukaryota; Metazoa; Chordata; Actinopteri; Clupeiformes; Clupeidae. The record is from Ensembl.